This is a long non-coding RNA of Neofelis nebulosa (Clouded leopard), 4092 nucleotides long. RefSeq lists it as uncharacterized. Lineage: Eukaryota; Metazoa; Chordata; Mammalia; Carnivora; Felidae. The record is from RefSeq and is a predicted model, not a curated record. The transcript has 3 exons.
UUUCUUUCUCUUCCUUCCUUUCUUUUUCUUUCUUUCUCUCUUUCACUCUUUUUCUUUUUUCUCUUCCUUUCUCUUUUUUCUAUCUCUUCCUUUCUUUUUCUUUUCUUCCCUUGUCUUUCUUUUUUUCUUCCUCUCUUUUUUCCUUUCUUUCUCUUCCUUCCUUUCUCUCUCUUUUUCUUUUUCUUCCUUUCUCUUUUCCUUCCUUCCUUCCUUCCUUCCUUCCUUCCUUCCUUCCUUCCUUCCUUCCUUCCUUCUUCCCUCCCUCCCCAGUCUCUCCCCUCUUUUUCUUCUUUCCAUUUCUGUGUAUAUUUCUAUUUCUUAAAAAAAAAUUUUUUUUAACAUUUAUUCAUUUUUGAGAGUGAGAGAGAGCUUGAGUAGGGGAGGGGCAGAGAGAGAGGGAGACACAGAAUCUGAAGCAGGCUCCAGGCUCUGAGCUGUCAGCACAGAGCCCAACACGGGGCUCGAGCUCAUGGGGCUCGAACUCAUGGACCCACGUGAGAUCACGACCUGAGCUGAAAUUGGACGCUUAACCAACUGAGCCACUCAGGUGCCCCUCUGUGUCUGUCUGUGUCUAUGUCAAUUUAAAAUUAGGAGACCUGGUAGCAGUUAUCCUGAAUUCCCAUAUGACAUCUGUCGGCUGGAGCUGGGUGGUGGUUGCCCCUCAACUGGGGCACAAAUUCUCGAGUUGGUCAGGUUCACACCACACCCUGUCAUGAGCUCCCACACCAACGCUGGGUGUCAUUUGCCACUUACCAUAUUUUUGAUGGUGUUUUCUUUUAGUGAGGCAAAAGGGAAAUGAAAUAUUUCUUAUACUUACAUUUUUUUUUUAACAAAAAUAUACAAAGAGAGAAAGAAGGCCGAGGGUUUCAAUAAUUUUUUUUCUCAUGCCCUGGCCAGCUGCCCUCGUUUAUUAUCUGCCUGGUUUCCACAGGCGUAUACAUGUGUGACCUUGGUUAGACUCAGGAGUGAGCAUCAUGAGCUCAGAGCCCGUAGAGAAUGGUUGGGUGAAAGCUGAGGUUUACUGCUGGGAUGUGUGUGUUAUGUGUUGUUUAGAUACAUAAAGUGUGCGCACAAAUUCUUGCCCUCUGCUUGUCUGUAGAGCUGGAGUUGGUCCAGUCUCUCACCCAGUUCAUGAAUCCUCUUUAAAGCACUCCUGAUGGGGUGCCUGGCUGGCUCAGUUGGAGCCUGCGACUCUUGAACUCAAGGUUGUUAGUUCUGGCCUCACAUUGGGUGUAAAGAUUACGUUAAAAAAAAUAAAAAAAAUAAAAAUAAAGGGUUCCUGAUAGAUGAAGCCAUGAGUAAUGUAUAGACUCUUUUUUUAAAAAUGUAUUUAUUUACAUAUUCCGUAUUUAUGUAUUUAUCUACAUAUUUACAAGUUUAUGUAUUUAUUUUGAGAGAGAAUGUGCGUGCACGAGCAGGGGAGAGGCAGAGACAGAGACAGAGAGAGAGAGAGAGAAUAUCCCAAGCAGAGAGAAUAUCCCAAGCAGGCUCCUUGCUGUCAUCCCAGACCAGACUGUGAGAUCAUGACCUGAGCUGAAACCAGGAGUCGGAUAGUCAACCAACCGAGCCACCAAGGCAUCCCUGUAUAGACUUUUUAAGGCAAAUUUUUUUUCACAGACCCUCCAUGUUCAUUUAGUAUAUUUUGGUUAUGUUACUUAAAAAUAAUUCAAACAUAAACUUGUACAUAAAGUCCUUUGAUUAUAGUUGCGGUUCAAUCAUAACUAAAAGAUGUGCACAGAACAAAUUCACUCAGCAUUAAAAAAGCAAUAAAUUCGAAUUAACAUCAUUAAUUUGAUACGAUAAAUGCUAAUUUGCCAAACUCAGUUGACGCUCUCAGUAUGAAUAUGAUGCUAACCCCUAAUUCAGAUUUUCUUGGGUUAAACGAGGCCGCUCAGGUGUGCUCCAUGGGAUAACUCAGUUCACCCACUGCUUUCGUCUGUUGUGAUCACUACAAAAUUAUGAUGUCACUUUUCCCUUUACCUGGGACAGUACAUCAUGUACAUGUUAGUUCUUCCUGUGUUCUUUCUCUGCUAUCAGUUUUCAGAUAAAGUAAUGCUACUUGGGUUCACCGUGUUUAUUUUUUUUGUAUAUGUUAAAAAAAAUUUUAUGAGUAAUCUCUAUGCCAACCUGGGGCUUGAACUCACAACCCUGAGAUCAAGAGUUGCCUGCUGUACAGACUGAGCCAGCCAGCCGUCCCAGGUCCAAUGUGUUUACAACACAAAGGCAAAUGAUAACACUGGAUUUGCUGGGGGAUAUUUGCUUAUUUAAAAACUUUAAGGAUUAUUUUCAUAAUGAAAUUCACAAAACUGAACACUUCUCAUAGGGAACUCUUAGAUUCCCAAAGUAUAUGUCUAUAAACCUUCAAGGGUCCAAAGAUCCCAGAUGGAGAAGAAUCCGUCUAGUUCAUUAUCGGUCACUGGAUGACAUAUGUACUGACUUUCCCAUGGCAUGGCGUUUCCCAUUUUUCCAUCAGCCCAUGGCACAAUGGAUAAUCGAUGUAGGUACUCUUUCCUCUCUGAGCCUGGGCUGCUCUUCAAGGCAUUCUCUGCACAAUCAGAGCCAGUCCUUCAGAGUUGGAGUUAAAUCUUAUUUGCCUAGUCGGUGGGAUAGACUAGAUUAUGGAGAAUUUUUCACUCUAGCUGUAGGGGCUCGGCCUUACUAGGAAGCAGUGGGAAUAUUUGGAGAAGAGAAUGCUGUGGGAGGGUUGCUUUAGUGGCAGUCCUUGGGAUGGUAGGAAGGAUUCACAAGUGGAUCCUGGUAUGCCUGGAAAGAGACCGUUCCUUUUUUCAUUCAUUUGUCAGUACUGGAGUACCCGCCGUGGUUGAUGGGGUGGGGGGUGGAGGCUAAGACUUGGCACCUUGCUUCAAAGGUCUUAUUAAUUUGUUCAUCAGAUGCUUAUCGUAUCCCUGGUGUGUGCCAGAGAUUAGGAUGCACACAGGGCAUAUCAUAGCCAGCAAGCAAAAACAGUCUCCUCAUGGAUUUUAGGGUUUAAUGGAGAAGAUAUUCCUGUGACAAGUCAGGACACGUUUUGAUGAAUAUUGCAGAAAGGGAAGCAGGCGUAGCUCUGGGAAUGGAUGGUGGGGAGUCCUCACCUCUUCUAGUGGCCUAAAGGAUUGGUGGGGUUGGGGUAGCCAUUUGAGGGUAUGUGCUUGUGUGUUGAGGGAGAGAGAAUGUUUCAGGUGUAGGGAACAGAGGCCCAGCCAGGGGACAAAGAUGGUGAUCUGAGCUGAGGCAUUCACAGGGAUCAGAUUGUAGAGACAGGACCUGGGACUUGAUCCUAAGGACAAUGGCGAGUCAAGGAAGGGGUUGAUGUAGGGGCGAUUUGCGAUGCCUCUAGCUCCAGGAUCGUGGAUAGAACAGAGGAGAAGGUGGCAGAGAAAGCAUUUGGAGGUCAUGAUAGUCCAAGAGAUGUGAUGAUGGCCUUGACACUAGGGGGGGCGGCAAGAGGAAGGCAGAGAGGCGAACAGAUCGAUACUUUAUAGGAGCUAGAAAUGACCAGAUUUGGCAAAUGGACGUUCCACAGCUUUCAGACUUGAGCCAUUUCUGGGUAUCUUCUAGAAAGGGGGGCAGCACUGGUGGGAGCAGAUGCUUCACUGUCAGGAGAUGGUGAGCGUGAGAUGCCUGUGAAGCACGUAAGUAGAGAUGGCCUCGCAGGCCGUUCUUUACAUGGUCCUGAAGCCACAUGAGGAUCUCCGAAUAAGGGGGGGAGGUCUGGACCAGUGACAGAAGUAUGGGGACCUUUGGUGUGUAGUUUUAGGAGUAGAUUCAGCUGCGUGGGAAGAAUUUCAAGAACACGUCUUGCAAAUUGGUGAACUAAACUCUAAUUUGACCCUUGCAAGGGUAGAAAGGUGUACGUGUGCCCAAAUGUGUCUUUUUUUUUUUUUGAGACAGAGAGAGACAGAGCAUGAACAGGAGAGGGGAAGAGAGAGAGGGAGACACAGAAUCUGAAACGGGCCCCAGGCUCUGAGCUGUCAGCACAGAGCCCGACGCGGGGCUCGAACCCACGGACCGUGAGAUCAUGACCUGAGCUGAAGUCGGACGCUUAACCGACUGAGCCACCCAGGCGCCCCAUCUUUUUUUUUUUUUUUUUUU